RNAcentral lists this ribosomal RNA (600 nucleotides) under Hepatozoon canis. Its description in RNAcentral is "SSU rRNA". It matches the Rfam family "Eukaryotic small subunit ribosomal RNA", at positions 225 to 819 of the family's 1831-position model. The record is from RNAcentral. Lineage: Eukaryota; Apicomplexa; Hepatozoidae.
GCUUUUAUAGUAUGAAAAUUGGUGAUUUAUAAUAACUUAGCAAAUCGCAAAGUGAAAACAGGCGAUAAAUCAUUCAAGUUUCUGACCUAUCAGCUUUCGACGGUAUGGUAUUGGCUUACCGUGGCAGUGACGGUUAACGGGGGAUUAGGGUUCGAUUCCGGAGAGGGAGCCUGAGAAACGGCUACCACAUCUAAGGAAGGCAGCAGGCGCGCAAAUUACCCAAUUCUAACAGUUUGAGAGAGGUAGUAACAAGAAAUAACAAUACAAGGCAGUUAAAAUGCUUUGUAAUUGGAAUGAUAGAAAUUUAAACCCUUUUUAAAGUAUCAAUUGGAGGGCAAGUCUGGUGCCAGCAGCCGCGGUAAUUCCAGCUCCAAUAGCGUAUAUUAAAAUUGUUGCAGUUAAAAAGCUCGUAGUUGAAGUUCUGCUGAAAGUAACCGGUCUGCUUUUAAUAAAAGUGGUAUCUUGGUAUGUAUUUAGCAAUGAUGUCCUUUGAAGUGUUUUUUACUUUAUUGUAAUAAAGCAUAUUCAGGACUUUUACUUUGAGAAAAUUAGAGUGUUUCUAGCAGGCUAACGCUUUGAAUACUGCAGCAUGGAAUAAUA